UACGAAGGGGGCUAGCGUUGCUCGGAAUCACUGGGCGUAAAGCGCACGUAGGCGGCUUUCUAAGUCAGGGGUGAAAUCCUGGAGCUCAACUCCAGAACUGCCUUUGAUACUGGAGAGCUUGAGUCCGGGAGAGGUGAGUGGAACUCCGAGUGUAGAGGUGAAGUUCGUAGAUAUUCGGAAGAACACCAGUGGCGAAGGCGGCUCACUGGCCCGGUACUGACGCUGAGGUGCGAAAGCGUGGGGAGCAAACAGG
Molecule: ribosomal RNA, 253 nt
Filed under: uncultured bacterium
Lineage: Bacteria
Description: partial 16S ribosomal RNA
Rfam family: Bacterial small subunit ribosomal RNA
Source: RNAcentral